CCCCUAGACGUUCUGGGCUGCACGCGCGCUACAAUAAUACGCACAGCGAGUAUCCCCGAGCUCGAAAGGGCAAGGUAAACAAUAGAAAAGGUACUGUAAUGGUUAUAGAUCCUUGUAAUUAUUGAUCUUCAACGAGGAAUUCCUAGUAAGUAUGUGUCAUCAUCACGCACUGAUUACGUCCCUGCCCUUUGUACACACCGCCCGUCGCUCCUACCGAUUGGGUGAGCCGAUGAAACUCUCGGAUGUAGGCUAUUCAUAGCCCGCAGAAGAGAUUUGAAUCGUAGCGCUUAGAGGAAGGAGAAGUCGUAACA
This 311-nucleotide ribosomal RNA is filed under the name uncultured eukaryote. RNAcentral describes it as "partial 18S ribosomal RNA". It matches the Rfam family "Eukaryotic small subunit ribosomal RNA", at positions 1470 to 1796 of the family's 1831-position model. The record is from RNAcentral.